CAGAAGAAGCGCCGGCUAACUACGUGCCAGCAGCCGCGGUAAUACGUAGGGCGCAAGCGUUGUCCGGAAUUAUUGGGCGUAAAGAGCUCGUAGGCGGCUUGUCACGUCGGAUGUGAAAGCCCGAGGCUUAACCUCGGGUCUGCAUUCGAUACGGGCUAGCUAGAGUGUGGUAGGGGAGAUCGGAAUUCCUGGUGUAGCGGUGAAAUGCGCAGAUAUCAGGAGGAACACCGGUGGCGAAGGCGGAUCUCUGGGCCAUUACUGACGCUGAGGAGCGAAAGCGUGGGGAGCGAACAGGAUUAGAUACCCUGGUAGUCCACGCCGUAAACGUUGGGAACUAGGUGUUGGCGACAUUCCACGUCGUCGGUGCCGCAGCUAACGCAUUAAGUUCCCCGCCUGGGGAGUACGGCCGCAAGGCUAAAACUCAAAGGAAUUGACGGGGGCCCGCACAAGCGGCGGAGCAUGUGGCUUAAUUCGACGCAACGCGAAGAACCUUACCAAGGCUUGACAUAUACCGGAAAGCAUUAGAGAUAGUGCCCCCCUUGUGG
RNAcentral lists this ribosomal RNA (545 nucleotides) under Streptomyces lavendulae. Its description in RNAcentral is "bacterial SSU rRNA". It matches the Rfam family "Bacterial small subunit ribosomal RNA", at positions 482 to 1024 of the family's 1533-position model. The record is from RNAcentral. Lineage: Bacteria; Bacillati; Actinomycetota; Actinomycetes; Kitasatosporales; Streptomycetaceae.